AGGGGAGGGGGAGCAGAGACACAACAGCCAGCUCCCCCUGCGGCCGCAAGAACAGCCAGCAAACCCUGAGGAGCUGGCUGUUGUGUCUCUGCUCCCCCUCCCCUG
This 105-nucleotide microRNA precursor is filed under the name Pelobates cultripes (western spadefoot toad). The record is from RNAcentral. Lineage: Eukaryota; Metazoa; Chordata; Amphibia; Anura; Pelobatidae.